GGGGGUAAUAUGUUAAAUUUAGGUUUACUUUGGGGGUAGUAUGUUAAAUUUAGGUUUACUUUGGGGUAGUAUGUUAAAUUUAGGUUUACUAUGGGGUAGUAGAUUAAGUUUAGGUUUACUUUGGGGGUAGUAGAUUAAAUUUAGGUUUACUUUGGGGGUAGUAGGUUAAAUUUAGGUUUACUUUGGGGUAGUAGAUUAAGUUUAGGUUUACUUUGGGGGUAGUAGAUUAAAUUUAGGUUUACUUUGGGGGUAGUAGGUUAAAUUUAGGUUUACUUUGGGGUAGUAGAUUAAGUUUAGGUUUACUUUGGGGGUAGUAGAUUAAAUUUAGGUUUACUUUGGGGGUAGUAGAUUAAGUUUAGGUUUACUUUGUGGGAAGUAGAUUAAGUUUAGGUUUUGGUUUAGGUGAGGCACAUGAAGUUUAGGUUGCGGUGUAGAACAUUAAGUUUAAGUUUAGGUUGAGGAAUAGUAGGUUAAAUUUAGGUCUAGGUUGAGGAGUAGUAGGUUAAGUUUAGGUUGAGGAUUACUACUUUAAGUUU
Molecule: long non-coding RNA, 536 nt
Organism: Astyanax mexicanus (Mexican tetra)
Lineage: Eukaryota; Metazoa; Chordata; Actinopteri; Characiformes; Acestrorhamphidae
Exons: 3
Source: RefSeq, a predicted model, not a curated record